GACGAACGCUGGCGGCGUGCCUAAUACAUGCAAGUAGAACGCUGAAGGAGGAGCUUGCUUCUCUGGAUGAGUUGCGAACGGGUGAGUAACGCGUAGGUAACCUGCCUGGUAGCGGGGGAUAACUAUUGGAAACGAUAGCUAAUACCGCAUAAUAGUAGAUGUUGCAUGACAUUCGCUUAAAAGGUGCAUUUGCAUCACUACCAGAUGGACCUGCGUUGUAUUAGCUAGUUGGUGGGGUAACGGCUCACCAAGGCGACGAUACAUAGCGGAGCUGGGAGGGUGAUCGGCCACACUGGGACGGAGACACGGCCCAGGCUCCUACGGGAGGCAGCAGUAGGGGAUCUUCGGCAAUGGACGGAAGUCUGACCGAGCAACGGCGCGUUAUGGAAGAAGGUUUUCGGAUCGGAAAGCUCUGUUGUAAGAGAAGAAAGAGUGUGAGAGUGGAAAGUUCACACUGUGACGGUAUCUAACCAGAAAGGGACGGCUAACUACGUG
RNAcentral lists this ribosomal RNA (495 nucleotides) under uncultured bacterium. Its description in RNAcentral is "partial 16S ribosomal RNA". It matches the Rfam family "Bacterial small subunit ribosomal RNA", at positions 28 to 507 of the family's 1533-position model. The record is from RNAcentral.